AAUCAUGGUACUAUUCAUUUUAUCAUUUAUUUUGUCUUAUCGUUAAAACUUAAAGUUUUCAAACUUUUUUAAUUAGUUUUCCUUAAAUAUUAUUGGUCAAAUUUAUAAUAUUUAGUGGUAUCAAUAUAAUCAUAUUGGAUUGUAAAGAUAAAAGUUUGGUGAUUUGUUUUGGACAAAAGAUGGAAAAUUUACCAUCAUGGUAUUACGAAAAGUCAAAUACCCCAACAACAUCACAAAACCCUAAUCAAAACUAAAUAUUUAGUUUUGAUGUCUGUUUCAGCAUAGUAAACAAGGGACUUUGACGGGAUCAAAGUCAGAGAGUAGGACUAGAUGAGUUCGUCAAUAGGCCGAGGUGAGGUGAGCUUCACGGCUGGCAGACCUCCAUUUAUCACUCGAAGCUCUGCUAGCUAGUGAUUAAAAAGGUAAGGUCAGGUUAGUAGUUGUGGUAACCGAGCUGAUCUGGGCAUGUAGAGCUCUCUUCCUUGUUUCCCCAAGCUGACACAUAAAUGUUAUCAGAUCGGUAGUGGUUGUGUAGGGGUUCCUCAGGUGAUUGUCUCUUAUUGGUGCAUUCAGCUUGGAAAGAUUUAGGUGUAAACUUUGGUGAUAUUUGAAUAUCAUGGAAGUUCAUCAUUCUGUGGGUCAAGAAGACUCACAUAAGCAUUUCAGCCUCUUUUUGACCACCAUCGCGCGAUUUAUCAACGUUAAAAAUCGAACCCAGAACGUGCCAUGUGGAAUACGGAUAUGAAAUUCAUCUGCAAUCAUUAAGCCACCCUCAUGGUGGUUGGAUAACAUGAAUAUUUUAACUUUGUCAAAAUUUUAAUAAAUCUGUCCUUAACAAAGAGAAAGAAAAAUACCUUGAAAGGGAAUUAUCGAAUUAUCAAACCACUUGAAAGGGACCAUCGAAGUCCAUAACAUAAUAUAUCAUGUGUGAUGGAAAUACUUCACCUCAUCUCUUGUCUUUGUGUGAUAGGUAUAUUUAAGCACAUUUUUAUAUAUGUUGAAGGAGUGCUUCAACUUCAAGUUUUGAAUUGAGUUAGUUUAACGUACCGAAAUGCCAAAUGGGAUCUUUGCCACUCUGCAUGCGAUAUCUACCAAGCUUUCAAUGAUACUUAAGUUGUCCCUCGUUGCCAUGUCAAAUCAUUUGACAUCACUCUCUUCAAUUAACCCAAAGGCCUUUGCAAAACCUAGUAUUUGACACACUCUCUAAUCUCUAUAUAUGGAGGGACUUGCUUGUUCCUUUCACUAUGGUUGGGAAUAGGAUUUACUAUUUGCAAAAGCACCCUUUUUCUAAAGCACUUUGCCAAAUACACAAACAUUUGUCGCCUCUAUUCAAUGAGAUAGUAUCAAUAUAGAAUCGUAGUGGCAACACCAUUAACGAGUGCGUAUCACCUAUUUGAAAAUUAAAAAUGAAAUAAUACAAAGUCAAUACUGGAAAGACACUGCGUGAUUCUUAAAUGAGAAAUAAGUUGAUGGUAGACUGAUACUAGAAAGCGCUAUAGGGUAGUGAUUACAGACCAAGAUGGUAUCUUCCUUUUUGAAAAUGGGACGAUUUGGUGGUUUCGCCGUGACAUUCCACCCUUUGGGAGGUCGGAAUGACUCAUAGAGGCACUUCCGCCUCUCUCUAGCCACUGUCACGUGGUUCAGCGUAGCUAAAAAUCAAACUCAGGAUGUGGCAUGUGAAAUACGGGGCCUAAAAUUCGUCAACAACCAUUUGGCCGGCCCGUGGUGUUUAACAAGAUGGUAUCUUAAUAACAAUACAAAUUUUGCCAUAUUCACUUGGUAAUUAGUUACAUUAGUCAAACCUUAGAGGUAAUGACUUAGAUAGUGAAUGUAUAUUAUUUUAAUUUAAAACAUGACCCCAAGUUUUUUAGUUUGGUAUCUAAAACUCCUUUGCUCAUAAAAUUAAAGUAAUUUCAUAGAUUUUCUUUAUUAUUUAACUGAUACAUUUAAAAGAUAAAUAGUAUGACGAGUUGUGCAUUCAAAUUAGUUAGUCCAUUCAAAUUAAUUAGAUUAAGAAACCAUGCGUUCUUGAGGAGGCAAAAAACAUACAACUCCGGUAAAUUAAUGUUUGUUUCGAGAUUUUAGCACUGAAGAAUAGGUAUAACAUUCUUUUAUUCGGUUAGUGCUCUUAAUCUUCCCAAUAAUCUCAAUAGUAGAAGAAAGAGGUGGAUUUUCUGAGUAUUUUAUUACCAAUAAUCUCAAUAUCUUUUGUAGGUUUGAUAAUUUUAAUAGCUUUGUUUUGAUACAAACGACAUUGGAAAAGAGUGAAUUUGUCUCAAAAUCUCGAUGAUAAUAAAUAAUACUUUUAAUUAACUGAACUAUAAAUUCCUCGCGUAAUUUAAAAAAAUGGGUAUAAAAUUCAAGGCUUAAAUGUCAAAAUGGUUCCUAUAUUUUACUGUACCGGUCAAUUUUGGUUUUCAUGUUUUUAAUUUGGCCAAAUUAGUUCCCGUGCUUAUCUAUGUUAGCCAAUCCUAAACAAUUAAUUAAAGAACCAUUAAAAUUGACAUGUGCCUUACACGGGAUCGUCAUUCAUUUGAUCUUGUGGGGGUUUAACGGGUUUACAAUAGAGUUACAUUUCUGUCCUCUUACGCGCAAGGCAUAUGUCAAUUUGAACAGUCAUUUAACGGAUUGUCUAAGAUUGGUUAACGAAAGUAAACAUAGAGACCAAAUUGAAAAAACACAGAGGUUAUUUUAACAUUUAAAAAGCCAAAAUUCAAUACACAAUCAUUACAUUACAUAAGGACUAUAAAUUGUUAUAGGACUUAAUUAUGAGGAUGGAAAUUAAAUAGAGGGAUUUUAGAAAUCUUGGAGAUGCAUCAUAACACAGGUAAUGAAACUCAAACACACCUGGCUAUGGUCAUGCUUGCUAAAUGCCACCUAAUCGCUCUGAGUUCAUGCAAAUAUUAAAGAUAUUCAAAAUUCAAAGGCGGCGGACCACUCAACCGCAUUGCUCUCCCAACACUUUUUAUUAAUCUAAUCUAAAAUUAACAUUUUAAUCUUUUAGAUUAACCUUUUAAUUUCUCUCUCUCUCUCUCUCUCUCUCUCUCUCUCUCUCUCUCUCUCUCUCAUCCUUUGCAACGGUUACUUUUCUGUUCUUCUUCCACCAAUGUCCUGAUUGUAACCUUUUUAAUACUAUUUCCAUCGUUUUAAAUAUGUUGGUAGGUGACAUUAUAAAAGUUGAUGUUUCUACUUUUUUAUUAAUUAAAGGUGAAGAUGGGAGUGAAUAAGUUCAAAGGGAAAUGAAGAUAAAUCCACUACCAAAGUUAUAGUUCUCAUGACAAUAAUUUUUAAUUGUUCAUUAAUACACUUGAAAAAAAUUAAAAUUAAUGAAAAAUGUUGGGAGAGAAAUGCGGUAAUAGAUGGAUUGCAAGACUUCUUAAAAAACUACAAAAAAUGACCAGAGGUCUCGGAUUCGAAACCCGCUGUUGGUCUGGAAGCUAAACUUGUAGACAUGAGGAGAUUAAAAUAUCUGUGUGAAUCUUUUCGACCCUCGGAAGGAGUGGAUAACCCUAAUUUGAUGGAAAUGAUAGAAAUACUAAAAAACGUAUAAAUUUAAAAUGAAAGAUAGUUUGUCAAAUAUGUCAAUUUUUGUCGAAAUUUGAGAAUUUCUUCCAUAUGGAGUGAAGUUUAACCUUUGAUCCCUUUUCCGUAUCUUCUUAUGACUUUUGAAAUAUUCACAAAAAUAUCGACCAUCUCAUUUAAUUGCGGAUGAUUACUCCACGAUAUAGAAUUUAUUUACUCCCAGGAAAGGCAAAUGGGUAAACAGUAACAGUGAGUUCUCCUCCUCACCGGCAAAGUGGCGGGUAGGGUAGUGUUUUGAUUACCGGAUCCCAACCCCACCCACAACACUUUCAUUCAAUAAUUUCCGCUCCAAACCAAUUAAACGUCUCUUUUUAUUUCAAGUUCACUUCUUUCCAAAUUUUCCAUUUGAAAAACGAGAGAAAACAAAAUCGAAAACGAAAUUCGGAAAACGAAAUUAUUUUCUCGUCUUCCAGGAAAUAGCUCUCGCACACCGACCUGGAUUGGAAUCAAGUUUCACUUUUUUCUUCUUCCCAAAACUUCUCGACGCGUCGGUGGGUUCCAGUUGCUGACUCGUUCUCCAACUUCUUCGUGUAUUUAAAUCAAAGACUCGAUUUUUCGCAAAACCCAGAAUUCAAAUUUCCGUUCUUCGCAAAACCCAGAAUUCAAAUCUUUUAUUUUUUUGUGUGUGUUUGAUCUCUGCUUGCUGGUAAAUUCUGUAGUUUUGAAAUUUUUACGAACUUGGGGAUGAGGAGGGCCAAAUUGGAUAGAUUCGGCACCUUCUUCUCUGUCAAUAGGCAAAGAUCGAUUCAGAUUCUGAUCGCUGUCGGAUUUCUGUAUCUACUAUUAGUCACGGUUGAAAUCCCCUUCGUGUUCAAAACUGGUUUCAGUACAAUCUCGCCGGACUCGUUGUCUCGACCCAUCAGGCUCCAUAGCAAGGAAGACGUGGAGGAAAAGGACGCCCCAAGUCGCCCUCUUGAGCAAGUUUCGCAGAACUCGUACCAGCCGACUCAGAGUCGGCGACCCAGAGAGCCCAAUUUUGUUUCGGGUUUAGUAUUCGACCCGAAAACUUUUGAUUCGGAGCUUUACAAGCCAGCGAAGGUUGCCUGGGAAGUGGGGAGGAAGUUCUGGGGAGAGGUGGAAUCUGGAAAGGUGCAGAUAGAUGCUGGAAAGGUGGAGAACCGAUCUGAGGCAUGCAAGCAUUCGAUUUCGGUAUCUGGGUCGGAGUUUUCGGCACAGGGGAGGGUGAUAGUACUGCCGUGUGGGCUGACAUUGGGUUCGCACAUAACGCUUGUGGGGAGGCCGAGGGCGGCGCACCAGGAGUUUCAGCCCAAGAUUGCCCUGCUGAGGGACGGUGAGUCGGCGAUGGUUUCGCAGUUUAAGGUAGAGUUGCUGGGGUUGAAGACUGUGGAGGGUGAGGAGCCACCGAGACUUUUGCAUUUCAAUCCAAGGUUGAAGGGGGAUUGGAGUGGAAGGCCUGUGAUUGAACUCAACACUUGUUACAGGAUGCAGUGGGGCGCGGCGCUUCGAUGCGAGGGCUGGAAAUCUAAGGCUGAUGAAGAAACUGGUGAGUGAUUAUCAAUGUCCUAUAACGUUAUAUACUGGAAAUGCUAGAUAUGAAACUUGUAAAUUGUUCUGUUUAUGUUGGUUUGGUACAUUAGUUUCUGUUUUGAGCUUUUCGCAUUCAUUGGAUUUGGAGCAUUGCAAGUAAGCUACUGAAAUGGGAAUAAAAACAGCAUUUGAAUUUGUAUGAAGUGUGGUAUUGUGCCAGCUUGAUAUGCAGAAUGCGGUGUCGAUUUUCAAAAUUCAAAGUGUGUUUGAGUUGUUAUGUUAUUAGUGCUUAACUGCUCAUUGAUAAUAUGUACCAGAAGAAUGAUAUGAAAAUGACACGAUUUUUGUUUUCCUAUUCAGGAAGAAAUUUAUUGUUUUGGGUUGUUGGCUCGUUAUCUUGCAUCUUUCGAUUAUUGGCCAUUUUUCUCAUUAUUCCCCGAGUUAAUUCAUCUUUGAUGCCGCACCACCAAGUUGUGUAAUUCUUUAGACUGGUUUUAGUUGAUGGUCAGGUGAAGUGCGAGAAAUGGAUUCGUGAUGACGACAAUCACUCAGUGGAGACCAAGGCAACAUGGUGGUUGAGCCGGUUAGUAGGCAGAACUAAAAGGGUACCUGUUGACUGGCCAUACCCGUUUGCAGAGGAGAAAUUGUUUGUUUUAACUCUUAGUGCUGGCUUGGAGGGUUAUCAUGUUAAUGUUGAUGGGAGGCAUAUUGCCUCUUUUCCUUAUCAUAAUGUGAGUAAUAUUCUGCUACCUCUACCUCGUGAUGAUUGAGGAUUCUUUGCUAAGAGUUUAGUUGUGAUGUCGACAGGGAUUUUCGCUUGAGGACGCCACUGGGUUGUCUCUGAGUGGGGAUGUUGAUCUGCACUCGGUAUUUGCCGCUUCUUUGCCCUCAUCCCAUCCUAGUUUUGCUCCACAGAAGCAUCUUGAGAUGUCAACCAGAUGGCAGGCCCCGCCUCUUUCUGGUGGUGGUGUUGAACUCUUCAUUGGUAUCCUUUCUGCAGGCAACCAUUUUGCCGAGAGGAUGGCGGUAAGGAAGUCUUGGAUGCAACACAAUCUUAUCAGAUCAUCAAAAGUGGUUGCUCGUUUCUUCGUAGCAUUGGUAAGCAAUAGCAAUAAUGACACUUGAAAAUUUGUAGUUGGUUGUGUACAAUGUUUAAGUGGGAGACUCACAACCUUUUCAAUUGAUACUUGACAGCAUGCUAAAAAGGAAGUGAAUGUUGAGCUAAAGAAGGAAGCAGAGUUUUUUGGCGAUAUUGUUAUAGUGCCGUACAUGGAUAACUAUGACUUGGUCGUCUUGAAAACUGUUGCUAUCUGCGAGUAUGGGGUGAGUUUUGGAAUAAACACAUAAAUGAAGAUUCGAUACUGUACAGUAUUCCCUGGAAAUGGUUUUCUAAUAAUGGUGUUGCUUCUGUUUCAGGUUCGUACCAUGGCUGCUAAGUACAUUAUGAAGUGCGAUGAUGACACGUUUGUUAGAGUAGGUGCCGUUAUCAGAGAGGCACAUAAAGUACCAGAGGGAAGGAGCUUGUAUGUGGGGAACAUAAAUUACUACCAUAAGCCUCUGCGCUAUGGUAAAUGGGCUGUCACAUAUGAGGUAUGUACAAACUUAUUGUUUCUGAUACAUGAUAUGUAGUGAGAUUGUCGACCCUACUACUACAUGUAGCUAGUUCUCAUUUGCUUCAGUUUAUCGAUAUUCUUUCUGCUUUGGAUUUUUUCUGUUUUUUUUUUAAUUUUUUUUAAUUUUUUUUAAUUUUUUAAUUUUUGGGUGGGGAGUGGGAAUUAAAAAAUAUAUUUCGAAGAAUGUUAAUUAUAUCAGAUUUAUUGUCUGUGAUAUUGACUUGUAAGAAUCUUUAUUCUGUUGAAAUCUUGUUAAAGAGUGUUGAUGUUGUAUUAUGUUCAAUUUCUUGCAUUGUUUUGCGCUGAUGCUUGUUUUUGAUAUUAGUAUUCAUAGCCAUUUGUUCUCUGUUUUCUUGUUUCAGGAGUGGCCAGAAGAAGACUAUCCACCUUACGCAAAUGGACCAGGUUACAUCUUGUCAUCUGACAUUGCAAAGUUCGUAGUAUCCGAGUUUGAAAGGCGUAAAUUAAGGGUAAGUAACAUCCACGCCCUUUCUCUACUUCACGCAUGCACGCACACACCGAUAUGAUAAUGUAAUGGGUGGUUGUUCUAAACAAUUUGAUCCUUGUGCAGUUGUUUAAGAUGGAAGAUGUGAGCAUGGGAAUGUGGGUUGAGAAAUUCAACAGCUCAAAACCAGUCGAGUACAGGCACAGCUUGAAGUUCUGCCAAUUCGGGUGCAUCGAAGAUUAUUACACCGCCCAUUACCAGUCUCCUAGACAGAUGAUGUGCAUGUGGGGCAAAUUGAAACAACUCGGACGACCGCAGUGCUGCAGCAUGAGAUAGUAUUUGUGGUUUUUCAUGACCCCAUCUCGAGAAUCUAGGACAUUGAAGUUUUUUGCAGUUAUAGCACCGUGUGAUCUGGUCCCUGUACAAAAAGAAACGGCCUGUAUAAAAAGAAAUUUCGUUUCCAUAUUCUUUCAUUGGUACUGCUCUUCAUCAUUCAUCAUCGUCUUCCUCCCGAGAUUCUUUCGUUGGUACUGCUCUUAGUUUCUUUCCUUUUUGACCUGAUGUUCCGGACUCCCAGGAGGAAGACGACGAUGAAAGACGAAGAGGUCGAGGUCGAGUUCGAUGGAUGUGUGUGUGCAGGGAACAUUUCCAGACAAAGAGCUAGACAUGUGCCAACUGAAAAGUAUAUUUGCUUCACAUGGACAUGGAUCUUCAAACGACAAAUCGUACUGGUGUUUUUGGCUGUCAACGAGUUUGGUUUCAGUGCUCGACAACCUUGGUCGUCAAGUUUCUCCAACCAGUUUAAUUAACAAAAACACAAGUUGGUUUCAUAUUUUUAUUGCUUAUGGAGUCACCAACUGUUUUUAAUAUGAUCUGUCUUUUAUUUUUUGGUAUUAUACUGUUAACGUUUGAUGGCGAUUUCGUGUCCGAACCCGCGUAUCGGGCAUUCUAUAUAAACCCCAUUGGGCUGUACACUCCAUUUUUAGGUAGGAAUUCUGUUUGUGCACAAUUAAGACUAGUCAUCUGAGGAGAGAGAUAAAAACGUAAUUGUGUAAUUGUAUAUAAUUGGUGACACCAAAUACUGAAACAUUAGGGUUUAUUAUAAGAAGAAAGAAAUCUUUGAUACAUUUCCCAGUUUUAAUGAUGUUACCAUCAAUGAACAAUAAUAAGAAAUCUGAAUUAUCUCCCUCUUCCUUUGUAUUGUAUCAUGAGUUUUUCAUUAAAGUUCAUUCAUUAUGGAAAAUUAAUAAAAAAAAGCUUGAAAACUUUGAGUUUUAACGAUAAGAACAAAAUAAAGGGCAACGUGAAUAGUACCAUGAUUGAUUUUUUAGUGUAAAAAUGUGGUUUUUCGUUAAAGUGAACAGUAAGUGAGUUUUUCGUUAAAGUUCUCUUAUUAUUAUGUACUUGCUUUUUUUGGAUCAAUAUAAUUAUGUACUUACUAAUCGUAUAACAUAUAUUCAAUAAUUUUUUUUAUUGUCAAACUCAUUACUACGGUCUGAUGAUAUUCAUUUUCACUCAAAAAUGAGAAGUCUUAGGUUCAAAUUCACUUAGAAGUGAGAAAUCUUAGGUUUGAAUCUCGUGAAUGGUGAAUUCGAUAUCAAAUUAGGCUGCCCAUUACGUAGUUUAGUGUGUGUGUAUGUGUGUGUGUGUGUGUAUAUAUAUAUACAUGUAUUCAAUUUUCUUUUUGUAAGUGGUUGUUAUUAGAACUCACAUUAGUGUGGAAUACGAUGUGAUGUGUUAGUAUUGUGUUAUAAGUCCAUAAAAUACUACAUCAAACACACACAGAUAAGUAGACGUUUUAUCAUUUGUGUAACACUAAGCAUGCCUUGUAUACCAGAUCAACCUUUUUGUGUAUCUUUUUGAGAAACCCUAGAAUUAUUUUUGCCGAAAACAACUUACUAGAACGGAAGUGAAAUAUUGAAAAAUCCGAAAUAAUCAUGUCACAUGAUUUAUUUUGUAUGAAAACUUUAACAAAAUUAAGGUAUGAUGACAUAUUAAUAAUUUCAUAAAAUUGGUACAACAAAUCGUUUAAAAUUUUGUCGUAUAAUAAAUUAAGAAAAAAAUGUAUACGUUCAUAUAACAUUUCAAAAAUUCUCCGAAUCAGAUAUGCAAUUAAAUUACGUAUCCAAAUCCUUAUUCCAGCUAAUUUGUUCAUUGAACCUAACCCCCAUCAAAUCCAAAAUAAAUUCCUACCCCCUAUCCAAACAUUUAAUUUGUUGGAUAAAGUUGCAAAAAAAAAUAAAUAAAUAAAUAAAAGCCACCCCUAAAAUUACCAUAUCCACCUCUCCUUCCUCCUCCUUCCCCCCCAAACGUCUAUAAAAACCCUCCCUUUACCGCUCACAAGAUUUACAGUUUCACAGCAAACAAAAAGAAUUUUAAAAAAUCAUAACGGUCUGAAGGGCUCCGACAAAACAAAAAUCCUUAAAAGAAAUCGAAAAAAAAUAACGUUGUUUUGGUGGAGUUAUGUCGGACACGUUUUGCCGCGACUGUAAUAGUCUGACGGAGGUUGUCUUCGACCACAGAGCGGGCUACGCGAUAUGCUCCGAGUGCGGCCUCGUACUGGAGGCGCAUACCGUCGACGAGACCGCUGAGUGGCGCUCCUUCGCAGACGAUUCCAACGACAAAGACCCGAACCGUGUCGGCGGACCCGUUAACCCGCUUUUGUCAGAAGCUGGGCUUUCCACCGUCAUCGCCAGGCCCAGAAAUGGCGGCUCCUCCUCCGAAGCCUUGCCCUCCUCCGUCGGGAAGUGGCAAGGCCGCGCCUCUAAGCCGGACCGUCAUCUUCUCGACGUCUUCGGUGCAAUUGCCGUGAUGGCCGACAGGUUUGGUUUUUUGCUUUGCAUGCUCUAAUUUUACUUGUUUUUGUUAAUUAACUUAAUUUGUAUUUGUUUGGUGGCUCGGACAGUGAAAGGAAAAGGGUAGAAAUUUUUUUGUUUGGAUUGUAUUUUCGAAAAGAGUAGGAUUUUCUCUUAUUUUUUUAUAUUUUUUUAUUUAAAGGGUUAUAAUUAAAUAACGUUAACAUCUUGUUUUGAAUUUUUUAUAUAAAAAAAAAGUGUGAGAGAGGGAAAGAGUAGAGAAUGAUACUAAGAUGGAAGAAAAUCCUACCCUUUUUUUAAAGGAAACUUUAAUGAAAAGAUCCGGUACUGUUCAUUUUAAUGAAAACUCAUAUUUUUAUAUUAAAAAAUCAUGGGAACUUUCAUGAAAAGGGUUUGGACUAAGUUUAUUUUAAUAAAAAACCAUGCUAUAACUUUAUUUAAUUAAAAAGACUAAAAUUUUAAUGAAAAACCCUUAAAUUUUAAUAAAAAGGACAAAAGAACUUAAAUUUUAAUGAAAAAGACAUAAUUUUAAUAUUAAAAAAAAAAAUCUGAUGCGCGGACCCAUGUGUCCUCACACUGUUUAUGGAACUUCUACACUGCUUAUGGAACUUACGACAUUAUUUAUGAAACUUACUGCACUGUUUAUGAAAACUUACGACACUGUUUAUGAAACUUACUAGAUUAUUUAUGAAACUUAAUGGUACUACAUUCUUCUCUCUCGUCUUCUUGAAUAUUCUUAGCACAUUCUCACUUUCCAAACACAUCUUAUUCUUCUAAUUUUCUUCGAUACUCAUUAAAAUACAAAGAUUUAAAAGCAAUUUUCAUUAAUUUUCUUAGAAAAAUAUACACAUAUAUUUAUCCUUUUGUCGCCAAACAUCAAUGUGAUGACGUAUUUAAAUUUCUCCUCUUCACAUGUCGAUGUCCAAUGCAUAAAAAAUUGAAGCACCGAAACGAAAAUCAAACAAAAAUUUGUCUGCCAUGUAAGAUAAAGCAUCAGUGUUCCUUCAUCUGAAACUCCACUUGUAAUUACCUAGAUAGUUUGAACUUGAAGCAUUUAGCAUUGUGGCUAUGCUUGCGCGAAAGUGCGAUAGGUUGGUCGAUUUCAUUCAAUGUUUCAUAGGUUGUAGUUGAUGUGCAACAAGUCGAUUUGAAUUAAAUUUGGGUUCGGAUGCAAGUUUGACAAGACCAUGUAUAGUAAACAUGCAACUUGCAGAAGCGAAGUUGUUUGAUAAGAGUAUUGGGUGAUUGGGUGGUUGGGUGGGUGAGGGCGCGCGCACAGCGCGACUUUUUUUUUAAUGUUUAUUUAUUUAUUUUUUUUUGUCCUUAUCAUUAAAUAAAGUUAGUGUAUGGUUUUUCAUUAAAAUGCAAAAAUUUGAAACCCUUUUCAUUAGUUUUCCUAAAAAUCAAUCAUGACACUAUCACUUUACUCUUUAUUUUGUCUUUAUCGUUAAAACCCAAAGUUUUCAAGUCAUUUUCAUUAGUUUUCUUUUUUUUGGGAACUUUAAUGAAAAGCUCCCGAUAUUGUUCAUUUUAACGAAAAACCACAUUUUUACAUUAAAAAGUCAAUCCUGGUACUAUUCACUUUACCCUUUAUUUUGUCAUUAUCGUUAAAAUUCAAAAUUUUCAAGCCUUUUUAAUUAGUUUUCUUUUUUUGGAAUCUUUAACGAAUAGCUCUAGGUAUUGUUUAUUUUAACGAAAAACCACAUUUUUACACUAAAAAAUCAAUCAUAAUACUAUUCACUUUACCCUUUAUUUUGUCCUUAUCGUUAAAACUAAAAAGCACUGCAUCACUAUCAUGUCAUCAACAGUGAGCCCAUGUGGGAUUGCGUCCCUAGAAAACACUUACGCUCAAAAGUGCUUCUAUUAGAAGUGCCUUUAUGAUAAGCAUGUUGACUUGUUUUAAAAAAUCCAAAGUUUUGUUAAAAGGCACUUGAAAGUACUUUUUGAAAAAGCAUCUAGCAUGUACUUCUUCAUAGAACGCUUCUACGAGCUAUAAGUAUUUACAUUUAAAUUUUUUUAGCAAACAUAGUUUAAAGCGUUUUUGGCUUUUAGAAUGUACUUGCUCUUCUGGCUCAAUUGGGAACAUAAUCUGAUGCAAUGUGUUGGGUUUUCACUGCAGGUUGGGACUUGUUACAACCAUAAAGGUAUAUCAGUUGAUAUUUUAGCAUCAUUUUCUUUGUGUUUUGGUUUGUCAAUUGAUUUAUUUUCAACUGGAAAUGUGUAAAAUGCAUUUUUGGUCACUGUCCCAUUUUGUGGCUAAUUACAAGGAUGUUAGGUAAUGAAUGGUUUGUUCUUUCAGUUUAUGAUUGGUUGAGGCUAGUUGAUGGGUUGAAACAAUGAAAAUGGCAACUCUUAUAAUGAUUUACGAUAUAAGUUGAAUGAAAAGCUAUCGUUUUUGUCCGGCUACUUCAUUAAGUUUCGUUUUUGUCCCGCUAUUUCAUCAAAUUUUCCCUGAUCAUCCCUUAGUUGUAUCCUGCAUUUGAGUAAAUGCAGUACGUAUAAGUUAAUUCCUUGAUGUAAUUAUGUUAGUGUUGUAUGAUGAAGAAUUUCAUUUCAUUUUGAAUCGAUGGGAUGAAUCUAUAUUUAUCAUUUUCAUGGUUUAGUGACAUGUCUGUGACUUCUUUGUGCAUGUCUGAGGACUUCGUUUUGAGAUUGAUUGCGCACAAUUUCUUGAAUCUAUUUAGUAUUUGGUCAUUAGUUUUUGGUUGGUAACUCGGUAUUCCAACACAUUCAUUGAAGUUGCAAUUUUUCAGUGUUUUUGAUGUAGUGUCUUCUGAUGUAGAAUUAUUGUGUGAUCUCAUAUAUUAGUUUCAACUUCUUAUUAGGGGGUUUAUGCUCACAGCAUUUGAAAUUAAUCUUUAUUUGACUAAAAGUCUAAAACCUUCUGUUUCGGAUUGGUAAUCUUUAUGGUUUUUUUUUAAUUCUGACGACCAGGAUCGAGCCAAUGAAAUCUACAAGAAGGUAGAAGAUCAAAAACCUCUCCGAGGGCGAAAUCAAGAUGCAGUUGUGGCUGCUUGCCUUUACAUUGCUUGUAGACAAGAAAAUAAGGCUCGUACUAUGAAAGGUAGAAGCGCAUGUUUGUGUUCGUAAUAAUUUCAAUUGGUUUUGCUUAUGUUUAUGAGCACGGGAUUUACUAAACUUGUGUUCCGACCAGAAAUAUGCACCGCAGUCAGUGGAGCUACCAAGAAGGAAAUUGGACGGGCAAAAGAGUUUAUUUUGAAACACCUGGAGGCCGAGCUUGGUCAGGAAAUGGGAACUAUCCAUGCUGGAGAUUAUCUGGUGAGUUUUUUUUAGGAAAACUAAUGAAAAUGGCUUGAAAACUUUGAGUUUUAAUGAUAAUGACAAAAUAAAGGGUAAAAUGAAUAGUAUCAGGUUUGACUUUUUCGUGUAAAAAUAUGGUUUUUCGUUAAAGUGAACAGUAUCACAAUCUUUUUUUUAAAACUCGUUUUUUUUUUUAUAUUUCCCGUCUCUUUGCGUUUCAAUAUUUUAUUUUCUUUUUGGAAUGUAAUUUGCUUGAGAACAUAAUUAUCGCAUUUUCUCUGCAGAGACGCUUUUGUUCCAAUCUUGGAAUGAAGAAUCGAGAUGUCAAGGCUGCCCAAGAAAUGGUGCAGAACAUUGAAGAGCUUGUUAUAAGGUUGUCCUCCGCCAGUUCACAACAAUCUUGUUACAUAAUUCAUGAUCUUUUUAGCUUGAACCUUUUGUCUGGGCUUCCUCGCCCUCAAUAAGUGUUUUUUGGUGUGUGUGUGUGUUGGGAUGACGUCUGGCCAUUGUGGUAGUGUCUUUGUUCUGUUGUUCUCCCUCACAUAACCGUUUGUCUGUUUUGCUGUGCUUGCCCCUUGUGUGGGCUUUCUUUGUUCCGUUGGCUCUUGCCUGGUUAAUCUUAUCCAGUCUUUCCAAAAAAAAAAAAAAAAACCUAACAAGGGGAGAGUCCUUACAUAUUUCGCAGUAACGAAUUUUCUUAGACCGAGUCUAAGAAUUUCCUCCUUCGGAUACAAUUUUGGAUAUGAAGUAUUGCAAAUACUUCAAUCCAAUAGAAAUUGUACCCAACCAAAAUCCCUGGAUUUCAAAACUUUCAACCGAAUCGAAGCAUUAACAGCAUUAGAUGGCUUCUUUUCAACUUCAUGGAAGUAAUUAAGGUCCUGUCUUCUGCAGGAGGAGCCCCAUAUCGGUGGCAGCUGCCGUUACUUAUACCAUUAAUCAACUAUCAGAUGAGAAAAUGUCUCUUAAAGGUUAGGAAUCUAUGUGACCUAUCGAUUAUUCUCUUGGAAAAGCCUGUAUUAAUUUUGUUUUGUUGCAGAGAUCUCGAUUGCUACUCAAGUUGCCGAAGGGACGAUCAAGAACUCCUACAAAGACCUGCAUCCUCAUCUAGCAAGGAUAAUACCGAACUGGUUCGCCAACGAGGACUGUGUCAAGAAUCUGCAGCCCUAGAACUUGAAGGUGGUGAUCAUAGUUAAAUUAAGUAGGAACAAUUUGAAAUCAAUAAUAUAUGCAGGAAGCAUCAGAAAGUGUAGUUUUUUUAUCUUUCGUUGUAUGAAGCGAUUAGGAAUUCGUUCUUUCUGCCUUUUCCUUGUACUGUUUUUUUCAUUUCAUUGUAAAUAGAAUGAAUUAGGGUUUUCCUUGAUGAGUAUUAUAGCUAGGUGCCCAAAUUAGGGUCCAAAUCUAUCUUCAUGACCGGAGGAUUUACAGUUCUCUCCUUGCUUCCUUUGCCUCUUACAGAAUUCAAAGGCAUACGAUAAAACUGUAAAGGUGACAGUUUCAAAGGCAUUAAGAAGCUUUUGGAAAGGGAUUAUCUCCAAAUCCUUUCUACGAAAUUCUCCUCAUCAAUUAAUCCGAGAUCUUGAAAUUUGAUCAAAUGGUUACAAAGAGGGCUCAUUUUAAAAGUUACUAGCCUACACACUUUGUGUAUAUAAACAUAUUUUUUUAGAAAAUGGGAAGGGAAAAGAGAGAGAGAGAGAGAGAAAACGUGGGGGGAGUAUAAGGUUUUUAUUUUUUAUUUUUUUUUAAAUUUUAAAUAUUAAAGAUAUUUUAACAUCAUUUUUAUGUGAGAUUUAAAUAAAAAAUAGUAAAAUUUGGACUUGUGAAAUUACAUUAUUAUCCAUCAUUUUUUUUUAUGUGUGAUAAAAGACUAAAUUGUCUUUUACUCUCUUUUGAUUGACAAAUUUUUUUUUAUUAAUUAAUAGAGAUAAUAACUUUUAACUGUUGAAUAAAAAAACUUGAUGAAAGGGAUCUAGAAAGGAUCCCCUUCCGAAGCUUUAAAGUACGAUGGUCAUACCGAAAAAAUAUUCGUGCUAACGAGGGUUCGAUGUUUUUUGUUCUCUUGUGAGUUAUUAUGUUACAAAUACGUACCAUCAUGGCCAGUCCAAUAAUUUCAAAUUUUGGGGGAAGACAUGGAUUGUCUGCCCUUUUAUUUUUAGUGUCCUCUUAUUUUAUAUGAUUACGAUUAAAUUACGUUAAUAUUUUAUAUUUUUUUAUAAAAAUAAUAAAAUUAAAAUAAAUAGUAAUAUAAAAUAUUAAAAUAAUUUAACCGUGAUUACAUAAAUAAAAAAAUACAGAAAAAUAUCAAAAGUGGAACGGCUGUCCAACCAUCAUGGUAGUUGAUGGCAAAUUUCUGCGAAUCCACAGCAUGCAAUGUUGCCACGUGAGUAACGUGAUUUGUGACCUGAAAGCCUGUAACUACUUGUCUUCUUCUUUCUCCUUCACCAACCAUGUGAGAAGGCUUAACAAAUGCCACGUAUAUAUUUUCCUUGGAGUUCUGAUGUGUACGAGGGAGUUUUAAGAGCACUUUCAGUUUCAACGUAGGAAGGCUUAUUUGGGCAAUAAACAACUUAAUCUUUUUAAAUGAACAAUAUUAUUUAUAAUGAAUUGUAAAUGUUUAAGUGUAUUUUUAUUCUUAAAUUGAAUAGCUCGGGUAGUUUGUAAAAAAUAUUAGUAUUUUUUAUUUUAUAAAAUAAUAAAAGAUAACGUUAUUUUUAAUUACAAACAAUAAUGAAAGAUUAAUUAAAAGUAUUCAAAAAUAUUGAAAUGUAAUGUAAUGUGGGAGAAUAUGGUUAUGUAUUUAUAGAAAAUAAAUUAUAAACUUUUAUAUUUUUAAUUAGUUUUUUAUAAUUUUUAAUAAUUUAAAUCGUGGCGUUAUGAUCACGUUACCCUUACAUCACAUAGGCAGAGUGCUGGGCUAGGCGAUUAUUGCCUGACUUUUCCAUCGGACUCGCCUUGGAUCCAAUUGCUCGAGUGGGCUAGGUGUUUUGGAGAGGGAGAAGAGUGGAUUGGAUUGCCUAUCCCCAAAAUCUAAUUAGUAAAAAGAUGAUUUUCCACAAAAGAAAGUGUAAAGCUAAGCUAAAAUAAGAAACAUUAGGAAGACAAGGACCCCACAAUCCUUUUCAAAAGAAUUUUUUUCUUCAGUGUGCCGAGAAUAUAUCUUGAUACACUAAGGGUCAGUUUGGGAUUGAUGUGCUUUUUAAAAAAACUGCUUCUGUUGUUGUUGACCCUAGAAAUUACAAAGCCUACGUGGCGCGCAGGCCGAGUAUUUUCUAAGCUAACUACGUCCUUCGGUGAUUGCGAGGCGUGCCAACUCGUCGGCCGAGCUUGGCCGAGGAGUAAAUUUGAUGAUGUUGCGUUGAGCGCGCUGCUGACUUCUGUGUCUUGCGAUUGCGGCCGAGGAAGGAACAAUUCUCGGCCUCUUGGGUUCUAGAGCCUGAAGACAAGGCUGCUAAUUUGCGAAGUUCAAUCUCAAAUUCGGCUGUCAAUGUGCCGAAUACAGUAACCUGGUAACACCUCACUUCGCCGAGAAGGCUGAUGAGAUGACCUCGACCAAUAAGGAUUCGGAAAUCCUUCUCGACCGAGACUUGGAUAGGUAACCAGUCGUCCUCGCCGUAGUGCUGUUGAUGCCAACGGAAGAUGCUGCGAGAUCGGCUGAUUCUACGGUGACAGAGCUAUCUAUGCCGACUUAAGAUAUCACCGGUUGCCUUCACAGUGCUGUUGAUGCCAACGGAAGAUGUGUCGGCGAAAAAAGAAAAUAAAAAAUCUCAAGGUGUUGAGAAAGUUUGCGCAGGGCAGUUUUGUGUGUGUGUUGGAGAGUCCACUGAAUGAUGCACAGCCUCCUCUAUUUAUAGCACUAGAUACCUUUGAAGUCGAGUCAAAACCCUACUCGAACUAGGUCUUCUUCUCCGGAUCAAACACCCACUCGACCAGUCCUAUGUUUACUAGGAUUGUGAGCCUAGUCCUCUAUUGAGCCGGAUUCACUUCCGGGUUAUUACCCUUGCCGAGACUCCUUAUCGCGUUAGGACUCGACUAGUAAAUGUAAUAUGACCUAGCCGACCUAGGUUUAGGAGCCCACGUACUAAAUGAUCCAAGGCUCCCCUGUCGCCAGGCCUCCCGGGCCGAGAGUGGUUCUAUACUCGGCCCAACAUGUUAAUUUGAGCCCAAACAUUCUUACUUGAGGAUAUAAUUUGCAUCAUAUCCAUCCCGUUUAAGAAUAUGUCAAGAUAAUUCAAAUUAAAAGAUAAUUAUGAUAAAAACCAUAAUAUUAUCUUUUAACAAAAAUAUUUUCACUUUUCCAUCCGACGGCUGAGAACUAUGUUUACUCUACGGUCUCGAUUACACGGGCCGAUGAUGUAAAUUUGGGUCCAAACAGUUGUGCUUUAAGAAAAAUCAGCUGUAAAAUAAAGCUGACGAGCGUUUGGCUAAUUGAAUUUUAAAAGUGUUGAGAGUGUAAAAAGCAGCGUAAAAGUAUUUGGUAAAAUUUAAUGUAAAAGUGAUAUAAUUGUAUACAAUAACAAAUGGACAUAGUAGUAGGAGUGGGGAUGACGACAUCAGUGGUGGUAAUGAUGGUGGUGGUUGCGGUGGUGGAGGUGUAGUGGUGAUGCUAAUAGUGGGAUGUGUUGGUUGGGAUGGAGAGGUUACAAUGGUGGUAAGGUGGUGGUAGCACCGGUAGUGGCGGUUGUGGUUGCGGUGGUAGUGGCGGUGGUUGCGGUUAUGGUGGUAGUGCCAGUGGCGAUGGCGGCAAUGAUUGUGGUAGUGGCGGCUGCGGAAAUGAUGGUGGUUAUGGCAGUUGUGGUUGUGGUGGCAGUGGUGGCGGUUGCGGUAAUGAUGCAUGUUGGUGGUGGUGACAAUGGCAGCAUCGAUGGUGGUGACAAUGGUGGCAGUGGUGGUGGCAGCAAUGGUGGUGGUGGAGGUAAUAAUGGUGGUGACAGUGGUGGAGGUUGUGGUUAUGGCGGCGAUGGUGGCAAAAAAUGGUGGUUGUAAUGGCAAUGAAGGUGUAAGGUUAGUAUUUGUAGUGGUAGGGGUAUCGUCUACUUUUCUCAUUAAAGGAUAAAAUGUGUGUGGAAAGCUAAAUAAUGUCACUUAAAAAGAAUUAAUGAAGGUCUACAACAAUUGAAUAUAUUUAUUAAAAACUCAACUCUAAUUUUUAUUAAAGUAGCUUUUAAAAGCAACCUAAAUACUGCUUUUAAAAGCUACUGUCUGGAGUUCGUUGUUAUUAAAAUAAGUAGGAUAUAUUAAUUUUACCAAACAUUUUGUUUACUAUAUAUUAUUUUUACUGAACAUUUUUUUACUACUUAACUUUAAAGAGAAACAAUUUUUAGUAAAAAAACAAUACCAAACGGGGCCUAAGUGUCAUAAUGUAAAUAGUUAGACCUUUUUUUCUUCAAAUAUCUAACUACUUGUAUUGUGAUACGUGAUGUAUUGGAUCAUGCUUUUAAUACACUGAAAAAAUCUCCUUAUGAAGUUAUCGUUUUGUUUCAUAAACAAUUGAUCAAAGUCGCUCCAAUAUUUCUAAUCCCAUUCGGAGACCCACUUUCUUUCGUCCGAGUGUCUUAUGUGCGGGACACGUGUUCAAUAAUUGACUCUUUUUAGCUUGUGGAUUAGUCACCUCCCAUCCCAUGCAGGUACUUUAAUUAAUUUGGUGCACACUGCACGUAGACCCACCAGUCAAUCAGUGUAAUCCUCAAUUUUGAGAUUGUUCUAAUCCUCGUCUCCCCCAUCUCUCUUUGCGAACUUGUUCUUUGCCAAUUUGUUUACAUUAUUUUGCUUGCUUUCUAUCAUUUGUUUAUACAAAAAUGUUAAAAGGUUCACAUUGUGACUAUCUAUUAAAACGUAAUAUUUUAAACUAUUCUAAUUUAAGAUGGUAGCCACACAAAAUUAAGACCUCUAUGUACUUCCAUAUCAUUUAAGCCUAUGGGUGGCCCCACUUGUGUAAAUUUGAACUUGUGUGCAAACAGGAUGACAUAUUACUCUAACCAACUUAUUUAACGUACGUAAUCCGCACCUGACACAUAUUGACCAUAUUCGUUCACGAGUAAUGUAAGUUGGUUCACGAGUAAUGUAAGAUAUCUAGUGGUUUAAUCAUAUUGCAUGAACGCCAAUUGUUGAAUGAAAGAAGGAAGGAAGUGAUUUUAACAAAUCACUUUUUGCUUAUUACACAUCCCUUUUUAUUUAUGGCCACCAGAUUGAAUAAAUCAAACGAAAUCAAUGGUUGAGAUUAUACUAAGGGGUGUAAGAAGUUAAAAGAAAUGUGUCAAAAUCACUUCUCUAAGAAAAAUCUAAUAGUCACAUACAAAUCACAAUCUAACAUAGUGUUUUUUACUGUAAUAUUAAAUUAAUUUUUUUUCAUUCUAUAUAUGUCAAAUUAUAAUUGGCAAAUACGUAAAAAGCCAGUAAUCACGUUGUGAAUGUGAUUUUUUUAAAAAGGAGGUUCCUCUUAGGACUAGCUGAUCUUGUUUAUAAGCUCCACCAUCAUCUCAUUAUCCACCUACCCCUUUGAAUUCACAGUCCCCAUUCUGAUCAUCAACACAAAAACCAUGAAAAUUAAAGGUGCAGAGUUUAGCCAGUGAAACCCUAGACAGCCCCAUCCCAAACCCUAAAACAAGACCUAGCAAGCUUCAGAAAUGUUGCCACCAACAAUGAUGAGCCAGCAGAUGUGGGCAACAAUGGGCUCAACCCUAGCAAGCUUCAUGUUCAUCUGGGCAAUCAUCCGCCAGUACUGUCCGUACGAACUCCGCCACUUCCUGGAGCGAUACUUCCACAGAGUCACCGGCUACUUCUACCCCUACAUCGAAAUUUCCAUCCACGAGUUCACCGGCGACCGCCUCAAGCGAAGCGAGGCCUACUCCGCCGUGGAGGCCUACCUCAGCUCCAACACCUCCAAGAGCGCCAAGCGGCUCAAGGCGGAGAUGGUGAAGGACAGCAGCAACCUCGUCCUCAGCAUGGACGAGUACGAGAGAGCGACGGAUGAUUUCAGGGGGACCAAAGUCUGGUGGGUUUUGUUCAAAUCCGUGUCCCCUGGCGGGAGAUCUAUGUCCAUGGCCUAUUAUCCCGACCAGGAGAAACGAUUUUACAAGCUGACUUUUCACAAAAAGUACCGGGACAUAAUCACGGUGGACUAUUUAAACCAUGUCGUUAAUGAAGGGAAGGAGAUCCGUGUAAGAAAUCGUCAGAGGAAGCUGUACACAAAUAGUCCGGGGUACAAAUGGCCGAGCUACAAGCAGACGAUGUGGAGCCACAUUGUGUUCGAGCACCCAGCAACGUUUGAGACAAUGGCGUUGGAUCCGGAGAAGAAGAAGGAGAUCAUCGAAGAUCUGGUGACCUUCAGCAAAAGCAAGGACUUUUAUGCAAGGAUUGGGAAAGCUUGGAAGAGGGGUUACUUGCUGUACGGUCCUCCGGGGACCGGGAAGUCUACGAUGAUAGCCGCGAUGGCGAAUCUGUUGGGGUACGAUAUUUAUGACUUGGAGCUCACCGCGGUGAAGGACAAUACGGAGCUGAGGAAGCUUUUGAUUGAGACGACGAGUAAGAGUAUUAUUGUGAUCGAGGACAUAGACUGUUCGCUUGAUUUGACAGGGCAGAUGAAGAAGAGAGGGGCGGCGGAGAAGGGUUUUCUGGAGGAGGAGGUGAAAGGUGGAGGAGCCUGGAAGGAGCGGAUUAAGGAGCCGAAAGAGGAAGUGUACGGCGGCAGCAGCAAGGUGACGCUUUCGGGGCUGUUGAACUUCAUUGAUGGGUUAUGGUCUGCUUGCGGAGGUGAGAGGCUGGUUGUUUUUACUACUAAUUAUGUUGAGAAGCUUGAUCCGGCAUUGAUUCGGAGGGGUAGAAUGGACAAACACAUUGCCCUUUCUUACUGUACUUUUGAUGGGUUUAGGGUUUUGGCCAAGAAUUACUUGAGGAUUGAGAGGCAUGAGACGUUUGAUGAGAUAGAAAAGCUGAUGGGAGUGACGAAAAUGACCCCGGCCGACGUUGCUGAGAAUCUUAUGCCAAAGUCACCAAAUGAUGAUCCGGAGAAAUGUCUUUCGAAUUUUAUCCAAGCUCUUGAGGAAGUGAAGGGGGAAGCUGCAAAGAAAAAAUAUGAGGAGAUCAAAGAGAUUGAUACAAGCAAGGAGGAGGAGGUGGCGGUCGAGGAGGAGGAGGGAGGAGGAAACAAAGAGGUUGAAGGUAAGAGAGAUUUGGUUGCCAAUAUAAUUAGGGCAGCUAGGGCAAGUGAGUGAUUAUUUGGGGUUUUUGAGUUUGAUGAUGUCAAUUAAGAUUACCAAUCUCAUUAUUUGGAUAAAAAAAGUUGAGAGUUCAAGCAAAAUGAUUCUAAUUAGAGUUGAUCUAAUCCAAAGCCUUUUCGCUUACUUUUUCAUUUGGUUGAUCUAAUCCAGACACCUUUGUUGUUAAUUUCUAUUAUUUGAUCUUCUUCGAAUCAUUCGAUCUGACGACCAGAAAUUGAGAAGAGUGUGUAAAAAGUAAAAAUUGAUGUGCGGGUAGCACCACCCAAAAUUUAUAAGAAUGCUUUAACACGUUUUGACUCUCAUUGGUAUGAAUUUUUAAUUAUAAGUAUACACAUGUAGCAAACAUGGGUACCAAUAUAUCGAUUCUCACUCGAACGUGUGAUUCAAAUUUAUAGUCUAUUAUCUUUGAAGAUGCAUACUUUACUAAAAUGGUGGUUAUAAAACUUAGUCUUUUGAGGUUAUACGGUUGCGAUGGGCUACCAUCACUUCUAGCAUUUUGUCACUAUAUAUUCAUACUUCAAUAAGGAAAAACAAAUAGUUGGAUCAAAGAUUAAAUUAUUAAAUAUUCGAAGGGAAGGAUCAUAGUUAAUUAAAUCAAGCAAAAAGAUUGUAACUAGAGUUGAUCUAAUCCAAAACUUUUGCUCACUUUUAAUUUGGGUGAUAUAAUAAUAAGUAAAGUUGUUUUUGUUAACAAUAACAAGUACAUAAAGUUUUGUAGGAGUGCUCUAACACAUUUUGACUCCCAUUGGUACGACAUAAAAAUAUAUUUUUCCUUUACGUUCAACCAAAAUAUGUGGAGGACACUCCAAAACACUCCGUCUCUCCAUCAAAAAGCUUUGGUCGUACCCAGUGCACAAAGCUCCCGUUUUACGUAGGGUCUGGGAGUACCGCUCCAAAAUUACCUUUGCCGGUUUGAGAGUUGUGAGUACUGAGCAUGCUUUCUCGACGUUUAUCGUCGUUUUUCCGGGCGUCUUUCGACGUCUCUCCUGUUCUUAUGCCUUCCAUCCUUCUCCUCUUACCUUGGUGUGGAAUUGGACCUCCCACUGUUUGUCUUGAGCCGUUGUGAGACUUUGUAGGUUUUAAGUUUAAUGAAUUUCAGCUUUUCGACCAAACAUAGAGACGAUACACAAAGCUAAUGAGACACUACCAAAUAGAAGACUUUAAAAAGGCAUGAUGGAUGGAACAGUGAAGGAACAAAAGACCACGUGAUGAGUGAUGUGGAGUUUCCAUGGAUUGGUUGCUUGAUGAUCGUUUUGGAUUUUCUUGUUUCACCGGGCGAACGAGAGUGAACCCAAAACUCAUCCAUUUCGAAAGAAACUAAGCCACUUUAUGCAGUGGCCACACAAUUACACCACUUUUCUCUCACAAAAGUGAUCCGAUCCGAUCCAAUCUAUACUAUACUCUAACUCUGUCACCGUAGAAUAACUUAUACAGUACAAAUACAUUAUUAAUAUUACGCAUUUUCGUUGUAUUAUUAACACAUGAUGCUACAGUUACGACCGAGAUGUACAUGUACUAGUACAAGUCGUUUUCCAAUCUCACUAACUCGCUGACUUGCUGAGUUGUGAUACAACAGUUUAGACCAAUUCAUCAGAUAAAACCCAAAAAAGUACCAUAAAAAAAUCAGAUGGUUUAAAGCAAUCGAAGCCCACCACGGCCCUAUGCCAACCAGAAUCCAGGAAAACUUCUUUUGUUGUUUUUCGGAGUGAAAUUUUUCAAAGCAUCUAGGAUUCAAGCGAGUACUUCACUUAUUAUAAAAUAAAUGGAGGGAUACAAAAAAAAUAUGUUAUUUUCUUCAUUUGUAUUGUAACUGAAAAAAACUUUCGUUAAAUAGUGGUGGGUAGGGAUGAUUUUUGUUCGGAUCAAAUCGGAAACAAGCAUUCCAAUACCAAUCCAAAAAAGUUACGAAAUCAAAUAUUAGUUCCAAUUUUGGAGUUUUAGAUUAUCGAAAAUUUCGGAAUUAGUUUUAGGUCAGUUUUUGAAACAUAAUUCUUAUAUUUUGCCAGACUUUGAAAUUUCAAACUUUUGUAAUGGCAUUCAAUAUUUUUUUCUCAAUUUUUUGAAAUAUUUGUAAGCAUUUAUGUGUAUAUGACAUAAAAUCAUAUUACACAAGAUAAAAUAGUACGUAUGAUUAUACUCUUUAUUUAUAAUAUAUAAUAGUAUGAUUAAAUAUACAAAAUUCAAAUAAGAAACAUGCUAAAAUAAGAAUUGUAUGGGUUUUAUUUACAGUACUACAUUUGAGGCCGAGCCUGAUAGUAUAGACUUGUAACUAAAUAGAACAUUAAAGUGAUUAAUUGGUGAUAGUGCCUAAGUCCAAGUGAGGUAUGAUGUUUGAAAUCUGUUUAUCACCAUAUGUUGGUGAGAUCACUCUAAGCAUGCCAUAAGCUAUUCAUGUUAGUACGGCGCCCCCCUCACUACGAGCGGGUAGCAAACAAAAAAAAAGUACUAAGUUUGAGAAAUUAAAGAUCAAAAUUUCAGAAUUUUGAAUCAAUAGGUACAUGUCAAUCGCCAUCCAAAAUUUCAAAAAUAUUCGAACUCAAAAUGGAAAUGGAUUGAAAUAUCCAAUCCAGCUUGCACCGUAGUGGUGGGUAUCGGGCAUAGGACAACUUUUACAUGAAAAUAGUAAGCUUAAUUUUUUAAUGUGUGACAUGAUGAAUCUUUUCUUUUCCAUCAUAGGACAUAAUAUUAAAGGCAUUAUGAAGAAUGAGCUGGCUUUUGGCUUGGCUCUCCUCCUUGAACAUUAUUUAUUCAAACUUUCUUAUGAUGUUUCAAUUCUCUUGUCAUUUUCUUCCAAUAAUGAAUUAUAGCUCUCGUGUGUUUGGGAAAAGAUUGAUGCUUAGACAAAGACAUUUCCUGGUAGCGCAGGGUUAUUAACACACAUCUUUUUAUUUCCUGCAUCCUUAUAUUAAUUUUUAUUUAUUAAUUUUCUUCAAUUUAUUUGAUUUGACAGUUGAAAAUUAUAAGACGUGUGUGAGAAAUAAAAAUAAGUAUGCGAAUAGCAGUACCCAUAUGCCCAGUAACUUUUUAGUUCAAUAGUAUUUUAAAAAAUUAGAAUAGUUAGAAUAUUGACUUGUUGAAAAAGAAAGAAGCGUUUCCUUUGUUAUAUCCAAACAUUAGACCUUAUGGUGAUAACUUCUCUACCCUCACUAUUUGGAUCCCUAAACUACUCGUGCUAAGAUGAGUAUACAUUUAAGAUUUAUUUGAAAGUGCUUUUGAAAUGAUUGAAAGCGUUUUUAUAUAAAAUGUUUUUGAGUUUUAAGAGCAUCUCCAAAGGAGAUGUCAAAAAAUAAAUGUCAAAUGUUAAUUUGAUGGCUGAUGUGGCAAUGUCAGAUUUUCUCUUUUUUCAAACGAUAUGGUUUUUGUUAUAAAUGAUAUUUGUAGGAUCAAUUUUAAAAAGAAAUCAAUUAAAAUACAUUUUUUAAGAUCUAUAAUUGGUACAUUAAUAGGACCCACAUAAUAAAAUAAUUAAAAAAAAAUUGACAUCACCUUUUAUCAUAUGUCAAAUUUGACAUAUGAAAACUCAUAUGUCAAUCCACAUAGGAUUGACAUAUCGGUUGGAACUCACUCAUACCUUCAAAUUUGAUUACAUGGAAUUCCAUUUAGAAUUUGACAUCUCCUUUCGAGAUGGUCUAAAAGCACUAAAAGCGAUUCCUACAAGAAGCACCAGUUAUGUGCUUUUUAUACAAAAUACUUCAAGUAAUUUUCCAAGAUUCAUUUGUAUAUUUUUGUACCACAAUUGUAUAUCACCUUAGGUGGCAUCUGAUGUGGACAGCCACAUCAUUUAAAUUAAUUAGCAUUAAUUUCAAAAUGUUAAUCAAUAAUUAAUAAAAAGAUUGUUAAUUAAAUGAUGAUUGUGGUAUACGAAGAGUCUCCUUCUUUCUUCUAAGAUUAUUUAAGUGUUUUAAUUAAUAAAAAGAUUGAAAUUAAAUGAUAUAGCUUGUUCAACUCAUCUGCCACCUAAGAUGGUAAAAAAAUGUAAUAUAAAAUUAUGGUAAGAAUUGCAUUACUUCUUUACUAAUGAUUGGUUCCAAAAACAGUUUCACAAAAAGCACUUUUAACCAUUUUAAAAACAGUUCCAAAUGAACCCUAAAUAAGUGAGUAAACUGCCAAAAUCCACCUUAAACUUGUCCCCGACUUUCGAUUUUCCCUCUGAAAAACUAAUUCUUUUAACCAAUUUCCCUUAAUAUUGUCCACAUUUCAUCCAAUAUAAAGUUAUGUACAGAACAUGUGAAUGCCUUCAUUUAACAAAAAAUUGGAUUAAACAUGAAGAAAAUAAACAAUAGGAAGAAAAUGGCUAAAAAAUUUAGUUUGAGUUCUUAAUUUUCUUAAAAAAAGGAUUAAGGGUGAAAAUCGAAAGUUGAGAACAAGUUGAGUACAAUACGUAGAAGAAUCAUAUGAAAACUAAUGUUCACAUUUCAAAUAUGCCACACGAAUGCUGGCAUUUCAGAGCAGAGCUUUUCGUGCUCCACUCAUAAACUCCAGACUCCGGUGCAGGAGCGCCGGCGUGCAUAACGCACUCCCGGACUCCGAGAUAGUCACCGUGCUUUCGGUGACUUGAAAACUGUGCCGAGAAAGAGCCAAGAAAUCUAAAAGUUCUGGUAAAAUGAAAUGACAAAUAAGAAAUAAGCCAAUCUGAAUACAAGAUAAGAGCAGUUACCUUCUAAGGGAGGGAGGAUGGUUCCAUUACAACACAGCCAACCCUAAUAUGCUCUCGGACUUGUACGGGAGACCACCAUAUCGGCCGAUACACGAGCACGAGAGAUAAUAAUAAUACUAUACUACAAAAGAUUUCGACUUUUUAACAUCUAAGGCCAAAUCUUUCAGUUACAAUAUUAGCUGAGGGUUAUUGUACAUUGAUCGGAUGAACUAAGCAACUCCCAAACAAGUUCCAUUCACCGGUCCUAGCUCCAUAGGUUUCUUUCGACGUUGACAUACUAAAAAAAAUGACUAUCUAAUCUACAUACCUCUGCGCCUCAUGUCGCUACCCUGUUGCAAAUCUCGCACCAAGGUUGUUGCUGCGUAAAUACACCUAGGAGAACUCUGGCCGCAACUUUCUCCAUGGGAAUAACGCACAAAAUUUAUAAAUUUUACAAUCGUACACCUCGGCUUCCUUGCAAAUCACACCUGUGCUAUCCAGCAGGGGAGGAAGCCUCCAAUCACAAAUCAUCCGCAUCAUCUUUCAUUAUUGAGUUUGGACCGUCGUCAAAACCUGAACCAGGGGCUAGCUCAUUUAGGUCGAGGAAACGUCUUUUCUGUACACCUUCGACUUCAUCUUCCCCUGGGCUAUUUGGUUUUUCAGGUGGCUGGUUUUGCUCUUUCUCAACUGUUGUCUCAGGGUAAUUUUCAACUGCCUGACCAACUUUCAUUUCUUGGUCCUCAAUAUUACCAUCUGAAUCAUGACUUUCCAUUGAAUAAUCCCCGUUUUCACUGGCAUCAUAAUGUCCAUCCGAUGCAUUUGAUUUCUCAGGUUUCAUAGGCUCCGGUUCCGAUUCUGAGAACUCAUAUUGUCGAUAAUCAAUACGAUUUCUGGUGGCCCUCUUACUGCGUCUCAAACCGGACUGGAGCUCAUCAACAGACCUCAAUUUAGCUUCCCUCCUAGUACGGCCUGGCAACUUUUUAAAUUUUCGGGGUUCAUCACUAUCCUCACUGGCACUCGCGGAAUCUUCCAUUUCCUCUUCUUCCUCUUCUUCAGCAUUUUCUUCCUCAAAAUGAUACUCCUCAUCUCCUUCAGAGCUACUAGAAAACUUUCUUCUCUCUUUACGUUUCUUCAAGUAUUCCUCAUCAUAUACAGCCUCACCAACUAUAUCAUCAUCACUGUCAAAGUCUGCAUCAUUAUCUGAAACUGCUUCAACAAAGUCUUUCGCAGAAUACCGUUGGGGCCUCUGUCUUCGCCGAUUGCUACAUGUAAUAAGUAAAAAUCAAUAUAUAAAAAAGUUCAAGGAUUUAAAGAAUACUGAAGACAAAGAAGAAACUUGCUCACCUUCGAUCCAAUUGUUCAGACUUGUUAUCUUCUUCGCCAUCAACAUCAUCAUCAUCAUCAUCAUCAUAAUCAGGUGAUUUAGGCGAUGCAGCACUAAAUCCUACAUGUUCAUAGGAAUUUGUAGUAGCACUCCAUUUACCAUUACUAGAAGCUUCAGGUCUCCCAACUAGCUCUCGUUUCUGUAAAGGGUCUGGAGAUGGCUGCUUCUUUCUGACACAGAAGAACAAUAAAAAUAAGUCAAAAGUCCUAUAUAUUGGUAUUAAAAGAAGUGAGAGAGAGAGAGAGAGAGAGAGAGAGAGAGAGAGAGAGAGAGAGAGAGAGAGAGGGAGAAUAUGAAACCCAUACUUGGUUACUUUGAUUGCCUCAUUGAUGGACCGGUCAUAAUCAUCUGCAAAAUUAUUUGACAAAACAAUCAGAUUCCAUAUACCCAUUGACACAUGGGAAUAACAGUAAGUAUAAACAUCCUGCCCUGAUGUGGCCAUCCUCGAAUUCCCAGAGUUGCUAUUAAAAUCUAGAGCAUUCAGGUAAAACUCAAAUAUAAAAGUCAUGGGAUAUUUCUCAAGAGUAAGCCAGAGAUAUUGCUCAAGAGUAACCACGGGAUAUUGCUCAAACAAACAAUUAGGAAUUUGUAUCACUAGACCACAUUUGAUAAUACGUUAAUCUGAUCAGUUGAUCUCAAUCCAUCACCAGUAAUCCAGAAAUACAACCACAUAAGCCGGUGCCUCACCAACAGCCACAUUUCUCUAAUUAUUAUUUUAAACAAUAACCGGCGUCAAGUUGUUCAAUAUGCAACAGAAUGACACCCAAGAUCUCAAUGGUUAAAUCCUCUAUUAUGGUUAGUAGAAGAUUGGCUUUUAAGCAGAGCAACUGUUAUUGGGAAAACGAAAACAAAGGUAGAAGUUUGUUUCCUUACCAAAAGUGUAGGUUACAGGUUUUCUGUCACGAAGAGAGCGCCCUGGACCAAGCCCAUCCACAGUCAAAAAAUUAUCAAGGAGGAGAGCUUGUCUGUGUUGCUUCUUCAUCUGCCUCUCUUUCCUCUGUGCAAGUAGAAUUGUAAAAAUAGUAUAUGAGAUACAAUUUUUGCUACAGAAUCUCUAUUUGAAAAAUUAUUCUUCAUCCACGAAAAAGACAUAAACCUACGAAGGUUGAAAGGUGGGUCAACUAUCACUGUUGCAUACCUUGUGAACCUUCUCAAUCUCUGCAAGCAUGUCUCCUUUCAACUUCUUCCCUAGAGAAGCCUCCGUUCUAUUCUUACUCGAGAAAAGUUUCUCCUGCGACAGUAGAUGCUUUUAGAUUUGGAGCAGCAACAAAUUCAUCCAAAGUUUUAACAACACUUUUCUUGAAUAAGUUAUCUCCCAUAUACAAGAUAGAAUCUGAUAAAUCUAAUGCUGUUUCCUCAACAUUAUUGGUUUCAGAGGCCCCAGAUCCCAGAAAUACUUGAAUAUACAAACCAAGUCAAAAGUUCAACCCUAAAAGUGUGCAAGGAAAUAUUAAUACAGGGCACAAAAGCACAUACAGAUGGGCUGAGAAAUUUAGUAUCUUACAGAAACAUCUUGGAAUUCAUCGAAAUUGGUUGCUACUGUUUCCCACUGAUAUGACGCACUAGGAAGGACAUGGGAACCUUUUCCUUUUACUUUCUUCAUAUCAACCUUCCUGAUCUCCCGAUAUAACCGAUAACCAAUUAUUGGAUCAUCUUCAUACCUGCAGCAACCACAAACACCCAGUAAAUAAACACUCAAACACAACAGUUCAAUUUACAUUUUACACAAAAACCCUCCAAAAAGAUAGUUGUACUAUAUCUCUGCAACAGUGGAAAGGAUACUUGAUGAACAUUUCAUACGAACCAAACAAAGGUAAACUAAUAUGGAUAUGAUAGAAACUUCAUUAUAUUACCAGUAAGAUAUUCCUUGUGAAUCACCUCCAACACGUUCUUUGCGAAAUGCUGAAUGCUGAACUCCAUGCUUCAGCGAGUUGUCAAUAUAGUUCCGAAUAUCUUCUUGCUGCAAUACAUCACUCAGAUUUAAUCCUUCUCAUAAAGUAACAGAAGCAUAGAAACAUGAUCCAGGAAGUAGGUAAUACCAAAUCAAUUUUCUAGUUAAAAAAACAUGAUUUCCUUGUCAUAAUUCUAAGAUUCAAUUCUGAUAAAAAAAAAACUCUCAAGAAUAUUAAAAAAAAAUACCAUGUCAAUGUAGAAACGGAACUAUCAUCUCAGUUUUCAGAUCAUGUGAAGUCUUUGGUAUUAUUUAAGGACUUGAUAGGGAAUCUCCUGUUAUCACCUAUUAGAGGGGGCAUCCUGCUCUGAAGCAUGCAUUGGAUCUCCAAUAGAUUUUUCAUUUCAAUUUUAAAGUAGUGGUUCUAUAUUAAGAGUUUGGACGUACAAACUAUCAUCUUGCUUGGGCAUUUGACCAAAAGGUUACUAAAAAAUAUUCAACGGAUUCUACAUUAACUUUUACAGAAAAUCAGUAACAAGUUUAAAUCUUAUCAACAAUAACAAUACCUCAACGCGGAUAUCACAAAGUGCUUUCAAGAUGACCACACGGACCCCAGGCUCAAGUGUUUUAUAUGCCUCAAUCUCCGCCCUAUCAAAUUAGCAUGAUGUGACAUUUUUAUAAAUGAAAAAGAUUCAUAUGUAAGAAUAGACAAAUAAACAUGACUGCUCACCCAUGUGAAGCAACAAUGGGUAGAUCCCCCUCUGCAACCUGCAAUUAGAUAUCCAAAUUAAUUAAUAUGAUUCUGCAGAAAUACAAAACAAAUUGGCACCAGCCAAAAUAUUGCCAAAAACUAGUUAUACGAGUACAGUUACCCAAUGCCACCAGUCUCUCAACUUUCUGCAUAAAACAGUGACCCAAGUAUCACGUGUAAGUGCCAUUCGCGUAAUUGGAGGAAUUGCCUGUAGAAUAAACCAAUUAAAAUUCAGGGGUAAGCCAGUAGCAGUUGCAUUGACAAACUAUCAACAAAACAUUAAUUUUCCAGCAGCAUCAGCAUUCCACGGGUUAUAUAAAAUUAAAUUACAAGGAGACAUUUUCUACUCCAUUAGCAACAAUAUGACUUAAAGCAUCCACAUUUAUGCAGUACAAUGGAAAAACUUAAAAUUCCAGACUUAUUACGAUUUUGAAACCCGAAAAUUACCAAAUAAAUAGAUUAAAGCAAAAAAAUAUCAUCUGGCCAAGAGAUCCUUCCCUUUCCAGAGUAUUGACAUAUUCUGAAAAGUUCAAUUAAAUCGUGAACAAUAAGUAGACAAUGAGUAAUAUAUAAUCAAUAAACUUGUAACCAUGACUACGAUCCUCUACCACAAUAGAAAUAGCAGUAACUAUGCGCUAGUGUGAAUAAGUAAUGAAGUUAACGUAUACAGAGAAAAACAGAUGAGAGAAUUGAGGAAGGCCUGGGUAACAAAGAAUUAAUAGCAAAGAUGGUAUUUUUUUUUUUUGGGGGGGGGGGGGGGGGAAAGAAAGAGGGUCCACAUAAUCAACUCUACCCAUUGGGGUAAUGGUUUUGAUUAACUUAAGCAAACUUGUCUAACCACAUUAGUUGGCAAAGGAUUGACUACAACAUUAGUCCUCGCAUAGGACAUGUCUUCUGCAGAAAUUUAGACAAGACUCAAACAAAAAUUAUGCCUCAGCAGCCAAUAAAAGACUAAAAGUUUAAUCAUUCGAGAUUAUAUGACAUGAUACAUGUCACUUGCAUUAAUAUUUUCACAGAAUAUUUAACAACAGCUGAUACAAACCACUCCAAUCACACCAUAAGCGUGUUGCCUAAAGUAAACCUCCAAACUCUUCUUUUAUAUUGAUUUCUUUGAGCUUUAAAGAGUUGUUUGAAAUGACAGGACUCGAGUGUUAAGGUGUUUCAUGAAUUGAGGUUGCUGUUAACAAUUAGAAAACCGCCCCUUCGGGUACAUCCAAUAACAGUUGGAAGAUCCAUAAAACAAUUUUAAUAGCAGAAAUAAUCACCUCCUAGAAAGCAGCUGACUUCAUUCCUACCUACAUUUUAAAGGGAACCUAAAGCUUAUGUACAGACGAAGUUUUCCACUAAGAAACAAGCUAUGAAAACUCUAAAUGGGACUGCUAAGCGAAUUUAACUUUCCGAAGAAAUGCUUCCGAACUUUAAGCAAUAAAAACUAAAAAUUUACAAGCUUUAUAC
RNAcentral lists this long non-coding RNA (31535 nucleotides) under Malus domestica (apple). RNAcentral describes it as "long non-coding RNA (MDOM_LNC014308)". Lineage: Eukaryota; Viridiplantae; Streptophyta; Magnoliopsida; Rosales; Rosaceae. The record is from RNAcentral.